GACGAACGCUGGCGGCGUGCUUAACACAUGCAAGUCGAACGGAAAGGCCCUGCUUGCAGGGUGCUCGAGUGGCGAACGGGUGAGUAACACGUGGGUGAUCUGCCCCUUACUUUGGGAUAAGCCUGGGAAACUGGGUCUAAUACUGGAUAGGACCAAGCUGUAGGUGGUGUGGUGGAAAGAUUAGUUUCGGUAAGGGAUGAGCUCGCGGCCUAUCAGCUUGUUGGUGGGGUAAUGGCCUACCAAGGCGUCGACGGGUAGCCGGCCUGAGAGGGUGGACGGCCACAUUGGGACUGAGAUACGGCCCAGACUCCUACGGGAGGCAGCAGUGGGGAAUAUUGCACAAUGGGCGCAAGCCUGAUGCAGCGACGCCGCGUGGGGGAUGACGGCCUUCGGGUUGUAAACUCCUUUCAGCCAUGACGAAGCCCUUGUGGUGACGGUAGUGGUAGAAGAAGCACCGGCUAACUACGUG
RNAcentral lists this ribosomal RNA (469 nucleotides) under uncultured bacterium. Its description in RNAcentral is "partial 16S ribosomal RNA". It matches the Rfam family "Bacterial small subunit ribosomal RNA", at positions 28 to 507 of the family's 1533-position model. The record is from RNAcentral.